UGUAGUUUGUGAUCGUCUGUUUCUCUGAAACAUUGCGUUAUUCACCCCUGAUCUGGCUCGUCAUCUGUUUUGAUCAUCCUCCUUUGCUAUCUUCCUCAGCCCAGUCUGACAGUGAUUCCUGCAGUCAUCAAAGAGAGAGACUCAGUUCAGCUGAACUGUCAGACUCCAUCUGUCUCUGAGUGUUACUUCAAAAUGGAAGGGCAAGUGGAAUUCACCCUACCAUCACCCUGUCAACAGACACUCACAGGAACACUACUGGUGAGGUGGACAGGUCAGAGUUCACCAGCUGAGGUCAAAAUACAAUGUCAGUACAGUGCUACAGGUUCACAGUUUAGAUCCAUGUACAGUGAGCCUUCAACAGUCACAAUUCAGGACAUUCCUCAGCUGACAGUGAGUUCUACAGUCAUCAGAGAGACAGAAUCAGUUCAGCUGAGUUGUGAGACUCCUCCAUCUCGCCAUGUGUCUAACUGUUACUUCUACAUAGAGGUGGGGAAGAAUUUUCCAGGGUCAUUGUGUACGCAGACAAUAACAGGAACUGAGCUGCUGAAGAGGGCAGGUCCAACAUUUCCAGCUGUGGUCAAAGUGAAAUGUUACUAUGCUGUAGGGAGGUCUCACACAUCUCCUUUAAGUAACCCUGUCUCAGUCACUGUUCAGGAUCCAAAACCAGACAUUACAGUCCAAUUUGAUGAGGACUUCACCAUCAUCUGUUUGAUUCCUGGAUCGGUCAGUCCUGACAGCACCUGUAACCUGUAUGUUGGAGAGGAGAGUCAGCCAUCCUUCACAGCAAAGACCAAGAAGAGACAAUCCACCUCAGCACCCAGACAGGAGUUCUGUCAAUUCACUCCAAAUCAUAGUGAUCUGAUCAGUGGUCUACAGUCAGUGAGGAGUAAGGAGGUGAGCUGUGAUUACAGAGUGAGCUCUGGACCAAACUCUCUCUCUCCACGCAGUGAUGGGUACAGCUUUACAGAUCUGGUGGGAGUUCACAUCAGUGAUCCAACAACUGUACAGACACCUUCUAUAGCAGUGGGUUUGACUCCAGGUCCUAGAUCUACUUUGCCUCCCAGCAAGACAGUGAGUCCUACAGAAGUUUCAACUGUUACUUCUACCUUUACCCCAGACACCACAGUGACACCAACUACCAGGUCGACUGUUUGCUGUACUUUUACCACUGACACCCCAGCGAGUCCAACUGAAAGAGGUCAAAGCUCCACAGACAGUGUUGUGAAUUCAAACAGUCAAAAAAUAGUUUUGGCGGUGCAAUUAUGGCAGACAGCAGUGGGUAUGGCUUCUGGAGUGGGCGUGUUCCUGAUGGGAUUAACAAGAAAACCAAUUCUCAGAGGUGAUUUGGUGAUGGGAGCUAUGAGCAGUGCAGGCAUGUUGGAUUCAAGGGAUGCUGGGAUCUAUUCUCUCAUCACUUAUGUACCGUCCACGUUUUUGCCCUCAGGUCCUGUGCAGCAAUAUGCAAAUGAUGCUGAUUCAGAGAAUGCAGGGGUCUACAGCCUGAUCACUUCUGUACCAUUCACAUCUGUACCACCAGUCUGAUACGUACCACGUAUACAGCUCAAUCCCCGACAGACCAGCAACCUCAGCCCAGCCAGAUGGGUUGUACAGUCUUCUGCAGACACACUGAAACUACACCACUGGCUCUCUGUAUGUCUCACAGAAAUACUGUUUCUUUCUUUUUUAAAUAAAGGAUGUCCUUUAUUUAUCACACAUUGUGUUACUGUAAAUAAGUAUCUAAUACAUCUACUGCAGUGCCGUUUCUAUCUGUAAGCGACAUCCAGUAAGCAGCCGCUAGAGGCCCCUCCAGAGAAAAACGUAGGAUAGUAGAAUACACAACGUGCAGUUUAGAAAUGUGGUUCUGCAUCAGCAGUUUUCUCUUGUUAUGUCAGUCACUGACAGUCACUCAAUUAUCCCAUGUCAGCUAAGAUUUUAUAGAUUGCUUGGGAAGUAAGUCUCGCCAGCUAUCUAAGCCAUGUAGUAAUGUCCAAAUUACUGCCCAGGGGCCCUGACCUCCAGGGGCACCCAUUGAUUUUGUUAGUCACUCUCACUCAGAUAUCAAAUGAACAUGGCUUAAGUCAUGGCCAAAUGUGUAGAAUUGCAGGAAAUCAUUUAUAAAAUGUCUCUCAAUCCCUUGGAAAAAUGUGUAGAACUGCAGGAAAUUAGCUUUAAAACUGCAAAGUUCUCUCCGCCCAAUGGCAAAAUGCGUAGAAUUGCAGGACAUUAACUUUAAAGCUCCAAAUGUUUCUCUCCGCCACCAUGAGCGUGGCCACUAAAAUGUUUUGUCUGCGAGGUGGGCAAAUCUCGCUUAGGGCCCCCAAAAUGCUUGGAACUGCCGUAAUUUACUGUUUCACACACGGACACCUGGCUUGUGUUGCAUGCCUAUCCAUAAUAUCUGUUAAUGUGUUGGUAUUUUAAUUUGGGGAUUUUGGAGUGGUCCGGGGCAUACUCCCCUUAACAUUCUUAAGUGUAUAUAU
This 2477-nucleotide long non-coding RNA is filed under the name Salmo salar (Atlantic salmon). RNAcentral describes it as "lncRNA (ENSSSAG00000091538.1)". The record is from RNAcentral. Lineage: Eukaryota; Metazoa; Chordata; Actinopteri; Salmoniformes; Salmonidae.